UACGUAGGCAGCAAGCGUUGUUCGGAGUUACUGGGCGUAAAGGGUGUGUAGGCGGUUGUUUUAAGUUUGGUGUGAAAUCUCCCGGCUCAACUGGGAGGGUGCGCCGAAUACUGAAUGACUAGAGUGCGGGAGAGGAAAGUGGAAUUCCUGGUGUAGCGGUGAAAUGCGUAGAUAUCAGGAGGAACACCGGUGGUGUAGACGGCUUUCUGGACCGU
This 215-nucleotide ribosomal RNA is filed under the name uncultured bacterium. RNAcentral's name for it is "partial 16S ribosomal RNA". It matches the Rfam family "Bacterial small subunit ribosomal RNA", at positions 524 to 737 of the family's 1533-position model. The record is from RNAcentral.